GACGAACGCUGGCGGCGUGCCUAAUACAUGCAAGUAGAACGCUGAAGGAGGAGCUUGCUUCUCUGGAUGAGUUGCGAACGGGUGAGUAACGCGUAGGUAACCUGCCUGGUAGCGGGGGAUAACUAUUGGAAACGAUAGCUAAUACCGCAUAAGAGUAGAUGUUGCAUGACAUUUGCUUAAAAGGUGCAAUUGCAUCACUACCAGAUGGACCUGCGUUGUAUUAGCUAGUUGGUGGGGUAACGGCUCACCAAGGCGACGAUACAUAGCCGACCUGAGAGGGUGAUCGGCCAGACUGGGACUGAGACACGGCCCAGACUCCUACGGGAGGCAGCAGUAGGGAAUCUUCGGCAAUGGACGGAAGUCUGACCGAGCAACGCCGCGUGAGUGAAGAAGGUUUUCGGAUCGUAAAGCUCGGUUGUAAGAGAAGAACGAGUGUGAGAGUGGAAAGUUCACACUGUGACGGUAUCUUACCAGAAAGGGACGGCUAACUACGUG
Molecule: ribosomal RNA, 495 nt
Filed under: uncultured bacterium
Lineage: Bacteria
Description: partial 16S ribosomal RNA
Rfam family: Bacterial small subunit ribosomal RNA
Source: RNAcentral